This 1590-nucleotide long non-coding RNA is filed under the name Mytilus galloprovincialis (Mediterranean mussel). Lineage: Eukaryota; Metazoa; Mollusca; Bivalvia; Mytilida; Mytilidae. The record is from RNAcentral.
UGUUGCAGAAUUGCAAAUGUUUGGUACUGGUUGAAACUAUGAAAGUAAUACAGGUAAAUUUAAAGAAUUUAGACUUUAACUUUAUUAAUAGAAAAGAUAUUCCCAAAUGUCAAGGUGAAAGUGGACAUUGUAGAUUCUAAACACCCAUGUGAAAGCAACAGUCUUCUAUGGUGAGAGGAUGCCAUACUUAGCAUUAAUGCUCUUGUUAUUAUAUGGAAUAUGGCUUUUUUUAUCAUUAUUUUCACUAUUUUGAUAUUGAACAACCAACAUUGAUAACAAGUAAUAUAAAACUCUCACUUUUUUAUGAAUCCUAUCCUAUCAUAUUAAUUUACUUAUUUAAUUUUUGUUAUAUUUGUUAUCAAUUGUAGGUCUCAUGGUCAUCAUUUAACAGCAGGUUAUUAGCAGCAGUUUUGUAGAAAAAUGAAGGAUGACUGUCAAUGGUAAAUACAUACAUUUUAGGAUAAUUACAUGUAGUUACCUUUGAAAAAAAACUUAGGUUUCAUUUGAGACUUUUUAAUCUGAUAAUGGUGUUUUGCAGGCAUUUAUAACAUUUCUUUUUGGACAAUAUAUUUAGUAGACUCAACUAUAAAAUGUAGGAUCAUGUAAACUUGUACACAGAUGUCACUGACCUACAUUUUCCACUUCACUGACUUUGGUUACAUUAAACAUCCAAUUUCAUAUACAACAAAUGUAUAUCUCAGCAACUAAAAGGUGUCAGAUCAUGCAAACUUAUAUAUACACUCUCAGAGUCUCAGUAACUCAGCUUCCAGGCAAAAGAAGGUCACAGUGAUCCACAUUUUACACUAUUGAUUUGUACUUUAUUUUAUAAUUUAAAUACAAAGUAUAUUAUCAAGACUGCCACUGGUUCUUAUGUGCCACAAUUCUGACAAUGAAGAUAACUAUGUGAUGUAGAUAACUUAUGUUUAUUUCAAACUUGGUCACAUGCUGUAUAUAUGUAAAUUUUUACCAAAAAGAACAGUUCAACUGUUUUGAUUUAAGGUACACAUAUAUGGUAAAGGUCACACCUAUUAAAUAUACAUGUAUACCUUGAAUUUAUUUGCAUUGGACCCUAUAAUGCUCCCUAUAUCAUUUAUAUUGUCAAUUAUUGCAUUCCAAAUUGCCAUUGUUACACAAAACAAAAACCACUAAAAAGGAUGGCCAUCAUAUGCAAAAGCAAUAUAAAAUGCAUACCCAUCAGCUGACCUAAUUAUUGCAAUCACUUCAAAAACCUGGCCAUAUAUCAUAUUAUAAAACUCUUAAUGAGUACCUUUGUUAGUCAGGUAUAAUAUAAUCUUUUUAAAUUGAUGUUGUAAUGCAUGAUUGGAUUAAUUUUGCACUCACUGAAAUAUUAUAUAGAUUUAGUAGUUUAUUAGUAUAUAUUACACCUUUUCAUUACAAACUUUCAGGUAAAUGCAGCAACAGAAUGUUCCCCUGGAAAAUUUACGUAGAAAAUUUGGGAAAGUAUGAAUAAGAAAUUAGAGAGGCAAACAGAUAACCAGAAAACAAAGAUUUUAAAAGAAAAGAAUUGCCACUAAUAGUAAUAUGAUAUAUCUGACUGGGAGCAACAUGUACUAUUCAAUAUGGAAGGAU